This 1819-nucleotide long non-coding RNA is filed under the name Ananas comosus (pineapple). RNAcentral describes it as "long non-coding RNA (ACOM_LNC025039)". Lineage: Eukaryota; Viridiplantae; Streptophyta; Magnoliopsida; Poales; Bromeliaceae. The record is from RNAcentral.
UAAAAUUAGUAUUUGAUCCGUGCGAUACACAAAUAAUAUAAUAAUAUAAAAUAACAAAAAUUAUUAUGUGAUGAUAAAAAAAAUAUUCUAAUUAAUAUUAUAUUUUUUUAACAAAUAAAGAAAUAUACUAUUAAUCUUAAUUCUAGUACAUAUUAAAGUACAAAAGCAAGAGAAAAAAAAUUAUGGACCAAAGUAAAUACUCAAGUAAAAAGCAAAAUUCAACCAUGCACUAUUAUCUAUGAAUUGGUGUGCAAAAUAAUUUGCAUUACAUAUUGAUGUGCAAAACAAAAUGAUAAUUAAAAUUGAUAUGAAAAAUUACAAAUGAUAUUAAUAUUUAAACUUUUAUAUUUGACACAAAUUAGAGUAAGCACACACAUAUGAGAGACAUACAAACUUUCAAGACUAAAAAAUAUAUAGAUGUUGGUCUUCAAGAAAAUAUAAAGAAAAAAAAACUUUGUUGCCUACUUAUUAUAAAGUUAUCUACAAUAUAAUUUGUUUUGAAUAUAACUGUCAAUCUAGCCAUAUUUAGAGAAUCUAUAUUUGUAUUUGAGCUUGACACGUGGCAAACAUAUAGAAAGCCACGUGUCAGCUUCUCACAUAGGGUUCAUAAAGGGGUCUAUUUUAGUAUAUAAUAAUAGAUAAUAGAUAAUAGAUAAUAGAUAGAUUUAGAAAAUCUAUAUUUGUAUUUGACAUUGACACGUGGCAAGCAUAUAGAAAGCCACGUGUCAGCUUCUCACGUAGGGUUCAUAAAGGGUUCUACUUUAGUAUAUAGUAAUAGAAAAUCUAUAUUUGUAUUCAAGCUUAACAUGUGGCAAGCAUAUAGAAAAUCAUGUGUCAACUUCUCACAUAGGGUUCAUAAAAGGGUCUACUUUAGUAUAUAGUAAUAGAUAGAUUUAGAAAAUCUAUAUUUAUAUUUGACCUUGACACGUGACAAGCAUAUAGAAUGUCACGUGUCAGCUUCUUACAUAGGGUUUAUAAAGUGUCAUACUUUAGUAUAUAGUAAUAAUAUCCUAGAAAAUCUAUAUUUGUAAUUGAGCUUGACACGUGGCAAGCAUAUAGAAAGCCACGUGUCAGCUUCUCACAUAGGGUUCAUAAAGGGGUCUACUUUAAUAUAUAGUAAUCGAUAUCCGCACCUGCCAAUAUCCGUGAAUUUUGCAAUAUCUCAUUUUCUCAAUAUCUCAUUAAUCCACCUACCAUUUGAAUUUGAGAAUAUAGUUUUUCCUUCUUACGCGUAAUAUCCACACCCGCCAAUUCUUUCGCAACGUAAAAUCCAUGAAUUUCGCAAUAUCUUAUAGAAUAGUAAAUAGAAUAGAUAUGUAAUUUAGAAAAUUUAUAUUUAUAUUUGAGCUUGACACGUGGUAAGCAUAUAGAAAGCCACGUGUCAGUUUCUCACAAAGGGUUCAUAAAGGGUUCAACUUUAGUAUAUAGUAAAUAUAGUAAUAUCCGCACCUGCCAAUAUCCGUGAAUUUUGCAAUAUCUCAUUUUCUCAAAUAUCAUUAAUCCACCUACCAUUUGAAUUUAAGAAUAUAGUUUUUCCUUCUCACGUGUAAUAUUCUCAUCUGCCAAUUUUUCCGCAAUGUAAUAUUCGUGAAUUUCACAAUAUCUCAUAGAAUAGUAAAUAGAAUAGAUAUGUAAUUUAGAAAAUCUAUAUUUAUAUUUGAGCUUGACACGUGGCAAGCAUAUAGAAAGCCACGUGUCAGUUUAUUAUAUAGGGUUCAUAAAGGGUUCUAAUUAGGUGUCAGUAAAAUCAAACUGAUUUUGAAAAAAUAGAUUUUUAGUUUCGUUAUUGAAAUUUUGGUUCGGUUGAACAACUUUAUUG